CUUGGCCACAACUGCUCUCCUUCUGAUACUUCACCUCUGCGCUCCUCUCGUACUCUCUUCCUCCCCGCACAGCUCUUUUCAGGGCCAGGAGGGGUGGGUGCACUUCUUGGAAUCACAAGCUUGCUUGCACCCGGGCUCGGCGACCCACUCUGCCGCCGCGUACUGCUCUCGGCGGGCCGGCCUCUGGCAGCCGCGCCGGCUCCGCCCCGGCUGGCCGCCCUGAGCGCGGAUCUCCCAGCGCCGCGCACAAAGACGGCCUCCCUGGCCUCGAGCCCGCAGGCUUCCGUAGCUCGGGUCCUUCCCCACCCCCACGAAGUCCUGGGGCUCAUUCUACCUUGCAGCAGACCCUCCGUCCUCCCGGCAAGUAGGCCAGCGCCCGACCACUCGAGCUCAAGUACCUUAAAGCCCGGGGAGAGUGUGUGCAAGGGGAGUUUGGUCCCUAUUUAAAUGAUCGUCUGCGAGCAGCUUGCACGGCUCCGAGCACCUCUUUCAGGGCUCUUCCACUAGGAAGGGAAGGAGCGAGCAGCAGACAAAACGCCGCCGAGGCCGCGAGCUGUUCCUGGCAUCCGCGGCUCAGCCAAGCUGUUGUUUUAAAAGAGCAAUAAAAAUGAAUUAUGACUAAACGCCUUCUAACUUAAUGCUUUCGGACGGGGAUCCCCGGCAAAUACGUUUAUUUGCCUGGACCCAUCAGCAGCUGGGAGACUAAUGAACAACACUGAAAAUGUUCGGGAUUUGUGGGGGAGGAGUUGGAAUGUAGAUGUUUGAAACAAAUGUGUAUAAAUAAAUGAAUUUGUUUAUAACUUA
This is a long non-coding RNA of Phyllostomus discolor (pale spear-nosed bat), 804 nucleotides long. RefSeq lists it as uncharacterized. The transcript is spliced from 2 exons. The record is from RefSeq and is a predicted model, not a curated record. Lineage: Eukaryota; Metazoa; Chordata; Mammalia; Chiroptera; Phyllostomidae.